GGUGAAGUGGUCUAGUGAUAAGACACUAGCCUUCAAAGCUUGAGGUCAUGGUUCAAACCCUUAUCUUAUCU
Non-coding RNA from Eragrostis curvula (weeping love grass), 71 nucleotides. The record is from the annotation of a GenBank genome assembly. Lineage: Eukaryota; Viridiplantae; Streptophyta; Magnoliopsida; Poales; Poaceae.